Molecule: unclassified non-coding RNA, 292 nt
Filed under: uncultured fungus
Lineage: Eukaryota; Fungi
Description: sequence contains ITS1
Source: RNAcentral
GGACUACCGGGGUAUCUAAUCCUGUUUGCUACCCACGCUUUCGCGUCUCAGCGUCAAUAUCGGUCCAGGCAGCCGCCUUCGCCACCGGUGUUCCUCCUGAUAUCUACGGAUUUCACUCCUACACCAGGAAUUCCACUACCCUCUCCCGUAUUCAAGUCUUGCAGUAUCCAAUGCACUUCCCAGGUUGAGCCCGGGGCUUUCACAUCAGACUUACAAAACCGCCUACACGCGCUUUACGCCCAAUAAAUCCGAACAACGCUCGCACCCUCCGUAUUACCGCGGCUGCUGACAC